RNAcentral lists this ribosomal RNA (252 nucleotides) under uncultured bacterium. Its description in RNAcentral is "partial 16S ribosomal RNA". It matches the Rfam family "Bacterial small subunit ribosomal RNA", at positions 524 to 776 of the family's 1533-position model. The record is from RNAcentral.
GACAGAGGGUGCAAACGUUGCUCGGAAUCACUGGGCGUAAAGGGCGUGUAGGCGGGAAAGUAAGUCGGGCGUGAAAUCCCUAGGCUCAACCUAGGAACUGCACUCGAAACUACUUUCUUGAGUGCCGGAGAGGAAAGCGGAAUUCCUGGUGUAGAGGUGAAAUUCGUAGAUAUCAGGAGGAACACCAGUGGCGAAGGCGGCUUUCUGGACGGUAACUGACGCUGAGACACGAAAGCGUGGGUAGCAAACAGG